RNAcentral lists this ribosomal RNA (141 nucleotides) under uncultured bacterium. Its description in RNAcentral is "partial 16S ribosomal RNA". It matches the Rfam family "Bacterial small subunit ribosomal RNA", at positions 355 to 508 of the family's 1533-position model. The record is from RNAcentral.
UGGGGAAUAUUGCACAAUGGGCGCAAGCCUGAUGCAGCAACGCCGCGUGAGGGAUGACGGCCUUCGGGUUGUAAACCUCUUUUAGCAGGGAAGAAGCGAGAGUGACGGUACCUGCAGAAAAAGCACCGGCUAACUACGUGC